RNAcentral lists this ribosomal RNA (515 nucleotides) under uncultured bacterium. RNAcentral's name for it is "partial 16S ribosomal RNA". It matches the Rfam family "Bacterial small subunit ribosomal RNA", at positions 28 to 523 of the family's 1533-position model. The record is from RNAcentral.
GAUGAACGCUGGCGGCGUGCCCAAUACAUGCAAGUCGAGCGAAUGGAUUAAGAGCUUGCUCUUAUGAAGUUAGCGGCGGACGGGUGAGUAACACGUGAGUAACCUGCCCAUAAGACUGGGAUAACUCCGGGAAACCGGGGCUAAUACCGGAUAACAUUUUGAACCGCAGGGUUCGAAAUUGAAAGGCGGCUUCGGCUGUCACUAAUGGAUGGACCCGCGUCGCAUUAGCUAGUUGGUGAGGUAACGGCUCACCAAGGCAACGAUGCGUAGCCGACCUUAGAGGGUGAUCGGCCACACUGGGACUGAGACACGGCCCAGACUCCUACGGGAGGCAGCAGUAGGGAAUCUUCCGCAAUGGACGAAAGUCUGACGGAGCAACGCCGCGUGAGUGAUGAAGGCUUUCGGGUCGUAAAACUCUGUUGUUAGGGAAGAACAAGUGCUAGUUGAAUAAGCUGGCACCUUGACGGUACCUAACCAGAAAGCCACGGCUAACUACGUGCCAGCAGCCGCAGUAA